RNAcentral lists this ribosomal RNA (492 nucleotides) under uncultured bacterium. Its description in RNAcentral is "partial 16S ribosomal RNA". It matches the Rfam family "Bacterial small subunit ribosomal RNA", at positions 29 to 507 of the family's 1533-position model. The record is from RNAcentral.
AGUGAACGCUGGCGGUAGGCCUAACACAUGCAAGUCGAACGGCAGCACAGUAAGAGCUUGCUCUUACGGGUGGCGAGUGGCGGACGGGUGAGGAAUACAUCGGAAUCUACUUUUUCGUGGGGGAUAACGUAGGGAAACUUACGCUAAUACCGCAUACGACCUACGGGUGAAAGCAGGGGAUCUUCGGACCUUGCGCGAUUGAAUGAGCCGAUGUCGGAUUAGCUAGUUGGCGGGGUAAAGGCCCACCAAGGCGACGAUCCGUAGCUGGUCUGAGAGGAUGAUCAGCCACACUGGAACGGAGACACGGUCCAGACUCCUACGGGAGGCAGCAGUGGGGAAUAUUGGACAAAGGGCGCAAGCCUGAUCCAGCCAUACCGCGUGGGUGAAGAAGGCCUUCGGGUUGUAAAGCCCUUUUGUUGGGAAAGAAAAGCAGCAGGUUAAUACCCCGCUGUUCUGACGGUACCCAAAGAAUAAGCACCGGCUAACUUCGUG